Molecule: small nuclear RNA, 164 nt
Organism: Ochotona princeps (American pika)
Lineage: Eukaryota; Metazoa; Chordata; Mammalia; Lagomorpha; Ochotonidae
Product: U1 spliceosomal RNA
Exons: 1
Source: RefSeq, a predicted model, not a curated record
AUACUUAUCUGGCUGGGGAGAUGCCAUGAGCAAGCAGGUGGUUUUCCCAGGGCGAGGCUCAUCCAUUGAACUUGGGAUGUGCUGACCCCUACGAUUUCCCCAAAUGUGGGAAAUUUGACUGCAUAAUUUGUGCUAGUGGGGAACUGCAUCCAUGCUCUCUCCUG